This 164-nucleotide ribosomal RNA is filed under the name uncultured bacterium. RNAcentral's name for it is "partial 16S rRNA". It matches the Rfam family "Bacterial small subunit ribosomal RNA", at positions 355 to 511 of the family's 1533-position model. The record is from RNAcentral.
UAGGGCAUCUUCCACAAUGGGCGCAAGCCUGAUGGAGCAACACCGCGUGAGUGAAGAAGGGUUUCGGCUCGUAAAGCUCUGUUGUUAAAGAAGAACACGUAUGAGAGUAACUGUUCAUACGUUGACGGUAUUUAACCAGAAAGUCACGGCUAACUACGUGCCAG